Molecule: non-coding RNA, 563 nt
Organism: Crotalus tigris (Tiger rattlesnake)
Lineage: Eukaryota; Metazoa; Chordata; Lepidosauria; Squamata; Viperidae
Source: the annotation of a RefSeq genome assembly
UUGUGCAAUUUUCUCUCUUGUCUCUUGUCAAUUCCCUCCAUUCAUUCAGUGAAAAUGUGGCUCAACCUUGUGUCCUUACUAGUAGUCCUCAAAGGAGUCCAUUCUCAAGUCCAGUUGGUGGAGUCUGGAGGGGAUGUGAGAAGCCCUGGAGGGUCCCUCCGCCUCUCCUGCCAAGCCUCUGGAUUCACCUUCAGCAGCUAUUAUAUGGAAUGGGUGAGACAGGCCCCAGGGAAAGGAUUGGAAUGGGUUUCAGAGAUACAUCCAAGUUCAUCUAGCAUUUACGACUCAGACAAAGUGAGGGGACGCUUCACCACCUCCAGAGACAAUGCCAAAAGCCAGCUGUAUCUGCAGAUGAACAGCCUCAAAGCUGAAGACACGGCUGUCUAUUACUGUGCUAGAGACACAGUGAGGGGAAGUGAAUCUGAAGCCAGACAAAAACCUUCCUUUCCUCAGAGCCGCUCAGCAACUUGAUUCAAUUGUGGAUCCUGGUUUAGUCAAUAAGGAUGGAUCACCAUCCAUUGAGAAUUUUAGGAAUCUUUUGUUCUAGGAAUCCAGUUAGAGAC